GCCGGGGUGGCGGAACUGGUAGACGCGCUGGAUUCAGGAUCCAGUGGGAGAUAAUCCCGUGCGGGUUCAAAUCCCGCCCCCGGCA
This 85-nucleotide transfer RNA is filed under the name Caldimicrobium thiodismutans. RNAcentral's name for it is "tRNA-Leu". It matches the Rfam family "tRNA". Rfam says of the family: Transfer RNA (tRNA) molecules are approximately 80 nucleotides in length. Their secondary structure includes four short double-helical elements and three loops (D, anti-codon, and T loops). Lineage: Bacteria; Pseudomonadati; Thermodesulfobacteriota; Thermodesulfobacteria; Thermodesulfobacteriales; Thermodesulfobacteriaceae. The record is from RNAcentral. RNAcentral also lists the same sequence under 2 other names.